UCAAAUACCAGAUUCUCAGAACCGGUAAUGGAAGUACAUUGAUGACCCAAUCCAAUUGAUUACUCAAAGGAUUAUUAGAAGCAGUUUUCUAUGUUCGACAAAGAUGAUUGUGAUUCAAAGAAGGUUCUAUUGAAGACUAAUUUGGUACUACUGACAUUGGAUUUUGAAGAAGGUACUUCAGGCCUUGAUCUGAGUAAUUACUCCUACUUGAUUAUCAGAUCACCAGAUCAGGAUGGGAACUUGCUUUAUGUGUUGAGUGCAUCUUCCCAGGGCUCGGAAUGUCAACUUUGAAUGGCACCACUGGUAGUAGGAAAAGAGAAGUUUUUACGGACGAAUCUUCAAGGGAUUUCAAUCUAACUCAGUGAUUCAGGGAUAUACAAUUACACAGUGAAUUGUAUCAAUGCUAAAUCCAUCCAGAAUCAACUGAACCAAAGACAGAGAACUGUGGAGGUUUAAGGAUAUAAUUAUUGAGUUACUACCGCACCAAAUCAGUUUCGUGCAUUUAUGUCAGAACCUUAGGAUUGAACAGCAGAGUUUGUAACUGCUGAAUUUGAGGAAGCUCAAGUCGACGAAAG
Molecule: long non-coding RNA, 575 nt
Filed under: Daucus carota (carrot)
Lineage: Eukaryota; Viridiplantae; Streptophyta; Magnoliopsida; Apiales; Apiaceae
Description: long non-coding RNA (DCAR_LNC003678)
Source: RNAcentral